Molecule: long non-coding RNA, 180 nt
Organism: Thalassophryne amazonica
Lineage: Eukaryota; Metazoa; Chordata; Actinopteri; Batrachoidiformes; Batrachoididae
Exons: 3
Source: RefSeq, a predicted model, not a curated record
UUAAAUUGUGGAGCAGCUGUUUGUUAAACAAACUUCUUAAUUUUGCUGCCUUAAGGACUUAAAUAACCUCUUAAUUUUGCUCUCUGAGUGACACUAGGAUGAUGCAUUUCACUUAAAAAGACACAUGCCAUGGAGUGUUUCUCAACUGUACUCAAAAGUAUUGGAACAUUUGGCAUUUCA